RNAcentral lists this long non-coding RNA (709 nucleotides) under Phasianus colchicus (ring-necked pheasant). RNAcentral's name for it is "lncRNA (ENSPCLG00000015161.1)". Lineage: Eukaryota; Metazoa; Chordata; Aves; Galliformes; Phasianidae. The record is from RNAcentral.
UUCUAUGCGGCUCUAUGGGGCUCUAUGGGAUUCCAUGGGGCUCUAUGGGGCUCUAUGGGGCUGUAUGGGGCUCUAUGGGCUUCUAUGGGCUUCUAUGAGGAUCUAUGGGGAUCUAUGGAAUUCUAUGGGGCUCUAUGGGGAUCUAUGGGGCUCUAUGGGGCUCUAUGGGAUUCUAUGGGGCUCUAUGGGGCUCUAUGGGAUUCUACGGGGCUCUAUGGGGCUCUAUGGGACCCACCAGGACCCCGACCCCAUAGAGGAGCCCUAAAGCCCCGCAGCCCUGCCCCCAACAUCCUAUGGGCUUCUAUGGGGAUCUAUGGGGCUCUACUGGGGCUCUAUGGGAUUCUAUGAGGCUCUAUGGGGCUCUAUGGGAUCCACCAGGACGCCGACCCCAUAGAGGAGCCCUACCCCCAACAUCCUAUGGGGCUCUACUGGGGUUCUAUGGGAUCUAUGGGGCUCUAUGGGGCUCUAUGGGGCUCUAUGGGCUUCUAUGGGACUCUAUGCGAUCUAUGGGCUCUAUGGGGCUCUAUGGGGCUGUAUUGGGGUUCUAUGGGAUUCUAUGGGUCUAUGAUUCUAUCCCCAUCUCAUACCCCACACCCCCAGCCCCCACCCCACUCCAAUAUCCCACCCCACAUCCAUCCCAUACCCCACCUCCCCAUCCCACACCCCACACCCCAUAUCCCCCAUCCUACCCCACAUCCCACCCCAAUAU